RNAcentral lists this ribosomal RNA (468 nucleotides) under uncultured bacterium. RNAcentral describes it as "partial 16S ribosomal RNA". It matches the Rfam family "Bacterial small subunit ribosomal RNA", at positions 28 to 507 of the family's 1533-position model. The record is from RNAcentral.
GACGAACGCUGGCGGCGUGCUUAACACAUGCAAGUCGAACGGUAAGGCCCUUUCGGGGGUACACGAGUGGCGAACGGGUGAGUAACACGUGAGUAACCUGCCCUCAUCUCUGGGAUAACAGUCGGAAACGGUUGCUAAUACUGGAUAUGAGCUUGCAAGGCAUCUUGUGGGUUGGAAAGAUUUUUUUUGGUUGGGGAUGGACUCGCGGCCUAUCAGCUUGUUGGUGAGGUAGUGGCUCACCAAGGCUUCGACGGGGAGCCGGCCUGAGAGGGCGACCGGCCACAUUGGGACUGAGAUACGGACCAAACUCCUACGGGAGGCAGCAGUGGGGAAUAUUGCACAAUGGACGGAAGUCUGAUGCAGCAACGCCGCGUGCGGGAUGACGGCCUUCGGGUUGUAAACCGCUUUCAAUUGUGACGAAGCUUUUUUGUGACGGUAGCAGUAGAAGAAGCACCGGCUAACUACGUG